GCGAAAGCCACCUCCUCGGGCCUGCGUCGCCUCCAACUUACUCCAAGUUUUCGGACGCUGGCAAAAGCCCUGCAGCCGAGAUGCAUCCUUUACUUCAAAAAAGAAAAGAAAAGCAAGCCCUCAGCUGGCUGCCCUGCUGGGGCCAGGUGACGUGCGAGAUUCCACAGCCCGCGGGCCUCGCAGCGGGGAUGUGAAGGGCGGUCUGAGGUUCGCUGGUCCUGCUUGGGUUUUGUUUGCAAGGGCUUCUCAGAGAGAUGCUCCGAUUUUUUUAAAUAGUGUUUCCCCUCCUAUCCUAAGCCCGACUCUGAAUGGAUUGGAUUGCGAGUUUGCACGUGAGAAGACCGUUUGGCUUGACUUGGACCCCUGCCUUCCCCCACGCCCUCCACACACCCAGUCCAGGGGUCCCCUUAUCACCCUUUGCUUGCAACUCCAAAAGAAGUUGCCCACCUCCUCCCGCUCGGGCUGAAACAUCGAUUCCGUUUCAAAACGAGAAUGGAUUUCUUUUUUUAUUUUCUCCACAUG
This 522-nucleotide long non-coding RNA is filed under the name Heterocephalus glaber (naked mole-rat). RNAcentral's name for it is "lncRNA (ENSHGLG00000043544.1)". Lineage: Eukaryota; Metazoa; Chordata; Mammalia; Rodentia; Bathyergidae. The record is from RNAcentral.